Molecule: long non-coding RNA, 147 nt
Organism: Selaginella moellendorffii
Lineage: Eukaryota; Viridiplantae; Streptophyta; Lycopodiopsida; Selaginellales; Selaginellaceae
Exons: 2
Source: RefSeq, a predicted model, not a curated record
CUGUGGAUUAGCAAGCUCAGCGGCAGCACAACUCAAAGAUGCAAGGACUACGACAUGAGAUGCCAGGAUGCCCAUCCAUUUCAUGGAACAGGAAUCACUUGUCACUAGCGAACAUUUAUAAACAAACGCCCUGCAGAGCUUCACGUC